This 352-nucleotide long non-coding RNA is filed under the name Androctonus crassicauda. Lineage: Eukaryota; Metazoa; Arthropoda; Arachnida; Scorpiones; Buthidae. The record is from RNAcentral.
GGCUGACCACACUACCGCUCUAGGCUAACGCCUGUCUCAAUCGUCCGUCGGAUCCACAAUUCUAUCAAAAUGUGCACUCUCUGCCAUUUUAAUAAUACCUAAUUUACUUGAUUCUCUUAUCAAAACUUUUACAACUGAUCACUAUGAAUACAACUGAAAACUGGAAAGGAUCGACUGACUUUAAAGAAACAGUUGUUUACAAUCAUCUAAUACUAAUCUGUAAGUACUGUCUGUCCAAAUUAGUUGUGUGGGUUCAGACUGUGCAUGACUUAUCUAGACUGGUCUGUUGUGUAAAAACAGGAACAUUUAUUGUUAAGUUGAUGGGUAAACAUCAGCUUAGAAAAAGAAAAUU